Molecule: transfer RNA, 65 nt
Filed under: Furcilarnaca wufengensis
Lineage: Eukaryota; Metazoa; Arthropoda; Insecta; Orthoptera; Gryllacrididae
Description: tRNA-Tyr
Rfam family: tRNA
About the family: Transfer RNA (tRNA) molecules are approximately 80 nucleotides in length.
Source: RNAcentral
GGUAGGAUGGCUGAGUUGAAAGUAGUAAACUGUAAAUUUAUUUAGGAGGGUUUCCUCUUCUACCA